GAUGAAGAACGUAGCGAAAUGCGAUACGUAGUGUGAAUUGCAGAAUUCAGUGAAUCAUCGAAUCUUUGAACGCACAUUGCACCUCUCGGUAUUCCGGGAGGUAUGCCUGUUCGAGCGUCAUUUGUACCCUCAAGCUCUGCUUGGUGUUGGGUGUUUGUUCCGCCUCUGUGUGUGAACUCGCCUCAAAACAAUUGGCAGCCGGCGUACUUGUUUCGGAGCGCAGCACAUUUUGCGAUCCAGAUCAACGUACAGCGGCAUCCAAGAAGCCUUAUUUAACGCUCUUGACCUCGGAUCAGGUAGGGAUACCCGCUGAACUUAAGCAUAUCAAUAUGCGGAGGA
RNAcentral lists this unclassified non-coding RNA (339 nucleotides) under soil metagenome. RNAcentral describes it as "partial contains 5.8S ribosomal RNA, internal transcribed spacer 2, and large subunit ribosomal RNA". The stretch from base 1 to 120 matches the Rfam family "5.8S ribosomal RNA", at positions 35 to 154 of the family's 154-position model. The record is from RNAcentral.